Molecule: ribosomal RNA, 253 nt
Filed under: uncultured bacterium
Lineage: Bacteria
Description: partial 16S ribosomal RNA
Rfam family: Bacterial small subunit ribosomal RNA
Source: RNAcentral
UACAGAGGUCUCAAGCGUUGUUCGGAUUCAUUGGGCGUAAAGCGCGCGCAGGCGGCUCGGCAAGUCGGGUGUGAAAACUCGGGGCUCAACCCCGGGCGUGCAUCCGAUACUGCCGGGCUUGAGGCAGGUAGGGGAGAUCGGAAUUCCUGGUGUAGCGGUGAAAUGCGCAGAUAUCAGGAGGAACACCGGUGGCGAAGGCGGAUCUCUGGGCCUGUCCUGACGCUGAGGCGCGAAAGCUAGGGGAGCGAACAGG